Molecule: non-coding RNA, 4174 nt
Organism: Coffea arabica (coffee)
Lineage: Eukaryota; Viridiplantae; Streptophyta; Magnoliopsida; Gentianales; Rubiaceae
Source: RefSeq, a predicted model, not a curated record
GUCAAAGAUUGUGGACAUGUUAUCGAGCCCAUCUGAAAAUGUUCUUUCUGUUAUUCCCAUAACAGGCCCGGGAGGUUUGGGAAAGACAACUCUGGCGAAAUCAGUCUACAAUAAUCCAAAAAUAGAUGGGCACUUUGGCCAAAAAAUUUGGGUUUGUGUGGCUAAAGAACACAUUAAGAUAAUGGACCUGUUCAAGCUCAUUUUAGUACAAUUGACAGGAGAAGAAGUUAAAGUGGAUGACAGGGAUGUUAUUGUUAAAAGAAUCGGAGAAAAGCUCAAGGGACAAAAUAUUUCCUUGUUCUUGAUGAUGUGUGGGAUCAUGAACAAGGCUUGUGGAAUGAUUAUUUCAACACUUUGAUGGGACUCAACGAAACCAAAGGAAGCUGGUGUCUUGUCACCACUCGUCUGGUACCAGUGGCAAAUGCUGUGUCUAGACCUCUGAAGAUGAACGGUGGUCCUUAUUUCUUAGGAAAGCUAUCAGGUGAUGAGUGCUGGUCCAUCAUAAAAGGAAAGGUGAUGAGUGCAGGGGAAGAAGUACCAAAAGAAUUGGAAGCAUUGAAGAAGCAAAUUUUAGGGAGAUGCGAUGGCCUACCCUUGGCGGCAAGUUUGAUUGGUGGCUUGUUGCUUACCAACAGAAGAGAGAAGUGGCACUCCAUUGUGCAGGAGAGUCUUUUGAAUGAAUAUCAAAGCCAAAUUAAUCAAAUACUUAAGGUGAGCUUUGAUCAUUUGUCAUCUCCAUCAGUUAAGAAAUGUUUUGCAUAUUGCUCGAUUUUUCCCCAGGACACUAAAUUAGGAGAAGAUGAACUAAUUCAGCACUGGGUUGCAGAAGGUUUUGUUCAACCAGAUCGCCAAAACCAAAGAUUGAUGGAGGAAAUAGUGGGUGAUUAUUUGAGGAUUUUGUUACAAAAUUCCUUAUUGGAAAAAGUAGAAGAGUCGUGGGGAACAUAUUAUAAAAUGCAUGAUCUCGUGCAUGAUUUUGCAAAAUCAGUUCUCAAUCCUAAAAGCAGCAGCCAGGAUCGCUACCUUGCAUUACACUCAUAUGAAGAAAUGGCAGAAAAUGUCAGAAGGAAUAAAGCGGCAUCAAUCCGCUCGUUAUUUCUCCAUUUAGGGGUGGCAUAUCUACUGACAUGCUUUUAAGAUUCAAGUGCUUGAAUGUUCUCAAAUUGUCUGGAGAUGAUGUCAAGUUUCUACCGAGCUCCAUUGGCAAACUACUACAUUUGCGGUUGCUCGACAUUUCAUCUUCUAGAAUCACAAGUUUGCCAGAAUCUCUUUGCAAGCUAUAUAAUCUGCAGACACUAACGAUGAGAAAUGGUGCACUUAAAGGAGGUUUUCCAAAACGGAUGAGCGAUUUGAUUAGCUUGCGGCAUCUAAACUACUGUUAUCAUCGUGCAGAAUUGAAAAUGCCGGUGCAGAUGGGACUAUUGACUUGUCUUCAAACUCUGGAGUUUUUUAAUGUAAGUCAAGAGAAGGGUUGUGGCAUCGAAGAGCUUGGGACCUUGAAAUAUCUGAAAGGAUCGUUGGAGAUAAGAAAUCUUGGACUAGUGAAGGGCAAAGAAGCAGCUAAACAAGCAAAAUUGUUUGAAAAGCCAGAUCUGUCCGACUUGGUGUUUGAAUGGAGAGUGGGGAUCGGGAAAGCGAUAACCGUGAGGAGGAUGUGUUGGAAGGUCUCCAACCUCACCCAAAGUUGCAAGGGUUGGAAAUUGAUUCUUUUAUGGGUAAUAAAUUUCCACAAUGGCUUAUCAAUUUGUCAAAAUUGGAGGCAUUGCGGAUAGGAGACUGCAAGAGAUGCAGUGAACUCCCCUCAUUAGGACAACUGCCAUCCCUCAAACGUCUCUAUUUGAUAGGAUUGGACAACAUUCGAUUUAUUGGAGAUGAAUUCUACGGUAUUACUGCUAAUGAGGAGGAGGAGGAGGAGGGCAGAUCACGAGCAUCAGGGAGCGGCAGUAGAAGGCGAAAAUUCUUUCCUGCCCUUGAAAGCCUCUGGGUCUACGGUAUGGGGAAUUUGGCAGAGUGGAAAGGUGCAGACCAAGUGAGGUCAACAGUAGGUGAAGCAGAAGCAGAUGUCUUUCCCGUGCUGAGGAAUUUUUACAUUCGAGAUUGCCCACAGCUGACCGCUCUUGCAUGCUCGGGUAAAAGUCUAUACGUGGAGAAGUGCCAUAAUCUAACAAGUAUAAAAAGGGGUUACGGCACUGCUUCUGUUGAGAAGUUACGGAUCGAAUCUUGCGACAAUCUUAGGGAGCUGCCAGAUCUGGAUCUGUUUGGAUCGAGUUUGCAGCGAUUGACCAUCUCAUUUUGCCCAAGAUUAAUUAGUCUGGGAGUAAAUGGACAGAAAUGCCCCCUACCAUGCCUUGAGGAAUUGAGUAUUCAUAAUUGCGAAGGGUUGACCACUAUAUCCGACAAAAUGUUCCAGUCUCUGCGGUCCCUGACGGUGAAGCGUUGCCCCAAUCUGGUAUCAUUUUCGCUUAAUUUGCAGGAGACGCCUUCUCUCGAGAAAUUCGUCUUAGAGAACUGUCCCAAAUUGAUCCCUCAUAGUUUCAAAGGAUUUGCUUUUGCCACCAGCUUAAGAGAAUUGAGCAUCAACAGUCCCUUCUCCUCAGUUGAUGAUUUUGAUUGGUCUGGUUUAAGAUCAGCAUCAACACUCCGUGAGCUUCAAUUAGAAGGGCUGCCUCACACGGAGUCCCUGCCACACCAGCUUCAAUACUUGACUACCCUCACUUCACUAAGUCUGGCCAACUUUGGAGGAAUAAAAGUGCUACCGGAUUGGAUUGGAAACCUUGUGUCCCUUGAAACCCUAUCGCUAUGGGAUUGCGUCAAGCUUCAGUCUUUACCACCCGAGGCUGCCAUGAGACGACUCACAAAGUUAACAAGUGUUGAAGUUGAUGAGUGUCCUCUGUUAAGACAACGAUACACUCCCCAAAGAGGCAUCUACUUGGAGGAGGAGAUUUCAAGUGAUUCGUGACCGAACAAGAAGGCAAUAAUGGUGCUCAAACAUUAGUUUCAUGUUGAUUCCCAUCCUUGCUGAAGAAGGAGAAACCAGAAGAGUCUUAGAAAGCAGACCUCAUGUUGUUGGACAAAGACACCACCCUUUGCUGUUGCAUUUCUUACAAGAUUGCCAGGGGGCGGAAGUUAUUUUCCCUCACUAGACAGGUUUGAAGAUGAAGUUAGUAAUCAAUGACGAGAAUUUUGCACAUCAGAGAGCGCUAGCUUUGAUGGAGGCUUCGCCAAUAGGUGGUUCUCCCCACAUUUCCCAAACAUAAUUUUUUGCUCAUCUCCUGCUCGGGCUGCAGAAAGAAAGUGAGCUGGAUUACUGUAUUGUAACCUUGCAGAUGAACAACGCAAGGAAAACAUCAGCUUCAUGUUGUUUCCCAUUGCUGUUGAAGAAGAAGAGCUCAGGAGAGUCUUAGGAGGCAGACCUCAUGUUAUUGGACAGAGGAGACCACCGUUUGCCGUUGCAUUUCUGACUAGAAUGCCAAGGGACAGAAGUUAUUUUCAUUAACCAAACAGGCUUUGAAGAUGAAGGCAGUUAUCAAUGACGUUAAUUUAGCUCAUUAGAUAGCAUUAGCUUUGAUGGAUGUUUCACAAAUAGUUGGUUCUCCCCAGGUUUCUCAAACAUAAGUUUUUCGGUUUCUCCUGGUCAGAUUGCAGAAAGGAAGCAGGCUUGUAGAGUGUGAUAUGGAUGAAGAAGAAAGAGGGGGGAGCAUCAUCCUAGCAUGGAAGCUGAUACUGGAGACCUGUAUCAUCCGAGGUGCGCAGCUGAUUUUGGUCAGACUGGACCGAUGGACUUCUUGGUAAAAGAGUUGGAUGUUUGUGACAGUAUAAACAAUCAAUUUGGAGCAGUGAGAGAAAUGCAGAUGCAAGAAGUCGAGAAAUGCAGAUGCAAGAAGUCUUGAAUUGCACAAAGGUCCAAGGAAGAGGAGGGAAAACGUUCUUUUCAGUAGAUGUGUGCAUAUUUUGUGAAGAAUUAACACUCUUUAAAAGAUGGCAUUUCAUAAUUUUGGCAUUUCAUACUUUAAAAGAUAGUACGUUUUCGUCAUCUUUUACAGGGAGUAAAAGUAUGUCUAGAGACCAUAUUUGUAAGAUUUCCUACCCUUUUUUAGUUAGACAUUUGAUAGAGAGAACCUAGAACUCUUGUUACUUUUCCUCUUCAAGUAAUCAUUUUUUGGUAUCUCUGCGA